UUCUCUUCAUUUUCUAUCACAAUAAGAUGGACUUUACCGAGGAUGAGAAUGGAUAAGUUAUUAAAUCUUGGAUGGAAAUUUCUUUUACCUAUUUCCCUGGGCAAUCUCUUAUUAACAACCUCUUCUCAACUUGUUUCACUAUAA
Molecule: ribosomal RNA, 144 nt
Filed under: Triticum aestivum (bread wheat)
Lineage: Eukaryota; Viridiplantae; Streptophyta; Magnoliopsida; Poales; Poaceae
Description: partial small subunit ribosomal RNA
Source: RNAcentral